CAAUACACUGCCUGGCGGCGACCGCACUCCAAAAAAAAAAUCCCAAACAAUUUACAGCUGUUAAAUAAUAUUUAUCGAUUACAAAUUUUAAGCAAUCGAAAUUUUUUCUCCAUAGUCAAGCAGUAACACUCGGAAAACGAAAACUCGUAAAUUUUUUGAUUUUCAAAAAUCCCUUUCCUGGACCCACCCCAAAGCGAUUAGCUAAGAUAAGAAGUAAAAAGGAUAUGUUUUGAUUUUUAUGUGAACAAACACAUAUGUUAUGGACGACUUUUUAUAUUUUUUGUGAGAAUUUAACUAUCAAAUCAAACCCAAUGGUGGAAUCAGACACCAGCUGGAGAGUCGUUCAGCGCCAACUUUAUCAAUGCCUAGCAUUAGGACGCAUCUCCUAUUCGGUGCACGAAUACUUACCAAUCAUUCUAUAAUCAUAGCUACCAUAAGCUUAUAAAAGAAGGCUUAACAUGCCUGACGCAUUUAAUGUACUUGGAGUACUAAGCAGCAUAAAAUAUCUGCGACUUACUGUAGAAUACUAUAGAAUUAACUACACAAAAAAAAAAUAAAAAAAAAAUACAACUUUGGUCAAACCUAAAUUCACUAAAAUUACAUCUCGAAAAAAAAGUUUGAAGCAAGAAAUGAAGCAAUCUCAAAAUCUAUGUCAUCCAUGACAUCUAUGUCAUAAUAGUGUCACCAUAGUAAGGUGUUAUCAGGACUCGAAUCCCAUUCUUUCAGUUAAGAAGGGAAGGAUCUUCACGGAUUUAGUGCUUGCAAAGUAGCACAAAAGGGUACAUGCGAAGUAUAUCCGACUUAUGCCACCAAAAAAUGUAAAUUCAAACCUCAUAAUAUGUGUCGCUUGGUGUUUUAUAGAUGUAAUUUUGUUUGGUUAUAUGGAAAACAUGCCGCUAUUGUAAUGGGAGAUACCUGUAAAGUCGUGGGUGCUGAAGACGCCAUUAAAGACUGAACGAACACUAACGUCAAAGAACUUCCUCUAUAAAAGAGUGCCAUUUUUGGGAGCGGAUAUGGGAGUGACAAAAUUUUGAACAAAAAAUGGAUUUUCGUGAGAUUUAUUUCAUUUCGUUAAACCCAAUCAGACUUUUCGCGCUAGCUGGUAUCUGUAAAAUAUAGGUUCAGGCAAAGGUUAUACAGACAAUAGAUGAGAAAAAUCACAAAAACAAAAGUGGCAGGUCCCACGAACGGACAAGUUUGAGAUAUUUUUAUCACGCGAUUCUCGCGCGACGAUUCAGCAUAGCUGAAUCAAAAAUGUCAAAAUUAUUUAUAUAAA
Molecule: long non-coding RNA, 1276 nt
Organism: Drosophila ananassae
Lineage: Eukaryota; Metazoa; Arthropoda; Insecta; Diptera; Drosophilidae
Exons: 5
Source: RefSeq, a predicted model, not a curated record